AGAGUUUGAUCCUGGCUCAGGACGAACGCUGGCGGCGUGCUUAACACAUGCAAGUCGAACGGAAAGGCCCCUUCGGGGGUACUCGAGUGGCGAACGGGUGAGUAACACGUGGGUGAUCUGCCCUGCACUUUGGGAUAAGCCUGGGAAACUGGGUCUAAUACCGAAUAGGACCGCAUGCUUCAUGGUGUGUGGUGGAAAGCUUUUGCGGUGUGGGAUGGGCCCGCGGCCUAUCAGCUUGUUGGUGGGGUAAUGGCCUACCAAGGCGACGACGGGUAGCCGGCCUGAGAGGGUGUCCGGCCACACUGGGACUGAGAUACGGCCCAGACUCUUACGGGAGGCAGCAGUGGGGAAUAUUGCACAAUGGGCGCAAGCCUGAUGCAGCGACGCCGCGUGGGGGAUGACGGCCUUCGGGUUGUAAACCUCUUUCAGUAUCGGCGAAGCUCCAGGAUUUUUCUUGGGGUGACGGUAGGUACAGAAGAAGCACCGGCCAACUACGUGCCAGCAGCCGCGGUAAUACGUAGGGUGCGAGCGUUGUCCGGAAUUACUGGGCGUAAAGAGCUCGUAGGUGGUUUGUCACGUUGUCCGUGAAAACUCACAGCUUAACUGUGGGCGUGCGGGCGAUACGGGCAGACUGGAGUACUGUAGGGGAGACUGGAAUUCCUGGUGUAGCGGUGGAAUGCGCAGAUAUCAGGAGGAACACCGGUGGCGAAGGCGGGUCUCUGGGCAGUAACUGACGCUGAGGAGCGAAAGCGUGGGGAGCGAACAGGAUUAGAUACCCUGGUAGUCCAA
Molecule: ribosomal RNA, 789 nt
Filed under: uncultured bacterium
Lineage: Bacteria
Description: bacterial SSU rRNA
Rfam family: Bacterial small subunit ribosomal RNA
Source: RNAcentral